RNAcentral lists this ribosomal RNA (433 nucleotides) under uncultured bacterium. RNAcentral describes it as "partial 16S ribosomal RNA". It matches the Rfam family "Bacterial small subunit ribosomal RNA", at positions 29 to 507 of the family's 1533-position model. The record is from RNAcentral.
AACGAACGCUGGCGGCAUGCCUAACACAUGCAAGUCGAACGAGACCUUCGGGUCUAGUGGCGCACGGGUGCGUAACGCGUGGGAACCUUCCCUUAUGUUCGGAAUAACUCCCCGAAAGGGGUGCUAAUACCGGAUAAUGUCUUCUGACCAAAGAUUUAUCGCCUUUGGAUGGGCCCUCGUUGGAUUAGCUAGUUGUUAGGGUAAAAGCCUACUAAGGCGACGAUCCAUAGCUGGUUUGAGAGGAUGAUCAGCCACACUGGGACUGAGACACGGCCCAGACUCCUACGGGAGGCAGCAGAGGGGAAUAUUGGAAAGUGGGCGAAAGCAUGAACCAGCAAUGCCGGGAGAGUGAUGAAGGCCUUAGGGUUGUAAAGCUCUUUUAACCGGGAUGAUAAUGACAGUACCGGGAGAAUAAGCUCCGGCUAACUACGUG